GUUGUAUGAUUCCGAGAUCAUGAAUUAUAUUUAUCUUGUUUUAUUUGGUAGGUGGGAAAUCGAGCAAAAUAGAGUUACAUGUAUUUAUAUAUAUAUAUAUAUAUAAAUUUUGCACGCGACUGUCUCAGGAAUGUGACAUAGUGUGACACUUAUGUGCCAGCUCAAAGCCAGUUAUUUUGCGUAGAGAUGAUAGAGCAUGCACGAACUGAAGGAAAACAGCAAUAGGAAAUUAGGAAAAUAAGCACACGGGUCGCGGAGAAGUCUCGCGCCGCUGAAGGACUCCCACGUGACUGAGCUGAGCAGCUCGAGCUACAUCCGCCGCUCGCUUCCACAGACAGGACGGAGCGGAACCGAGCCGAGACUCGUCUGAAGACAUUUCUCUUCACCUGAAUAAUUCUUUCCAGCACAAGUCCCCAGCCUCUCACACCAUGGAGGGCUAUGGGCUGUCGGAAGAGGAGCUCUUCGCCUCGUCUCUGCACAACUUCACCUGGGAGACUGCGUUUGAGCAGUCGUAUGUCCCUCCGAAACAGGAAGUCAGAGUGACGUCGUGUGGAAGUGCUCGACUGUCGCUUGACACACGAUAUAUGCCAGCACUGACGAGGCGCAGAGGGACUGAAGGCAGCUGUGUGAAGAAGCAUCACACACGUGAACGGAUCGCAUUUGAUUUAGAACAGCGGCCUUGAAACAGAGAUUUCUGUGGUGCGGCUAUUGAAACAG
Ictalurus punctatus (channel catfish) is the source of this 717-nucleotide long non-coding RNA. The record is from Ensembl. Lineage: Eukaryota; Metazoa; Chordata; Actinopteri; Siluriformes; Ictaluridae.